AACCCAUAAUGAUGGCAUAUUCUCAAAAGAUCUUUAAAUCUCUCUCAUGCAUCAUAUAAUGUCUCCAAUUCAAUUUGAGCAAAAGAAGAGAUGUUGUUCCUCCAUUU
Molecule: non-coding RNA, 107 nt
Organism: Gossypium hirsutum (cotton)
Lineage: Eukaryota; Viridiplantae; Streptophyta; Magnoliopsida; Malvales; Malvaceae
Source: Rfam